ACACACUAAAACUCCCACAAAAGGGGGAAAAUUAGAAAAGGGGUGAUAUAAUUUGACUCUGUGUCCCCACCCAAAUCUCAUCUUGAAUUGUAGUCCCCAUAAUUUCUCACCUGGUAAAAGUGGGAACAGGUGGAGACAAUUGGAUCAUGGGGGCAGUUUUCCCCAUGCUCUUCUCGUGAUAAUGAUUGAGUCUCAUGGGAUCUGAUGAUUUUAUAAGUGUCUGGCUUUUCCCCUGCUUGCACUCACUCCAUCCUGCCACCCUGUGAAGAAGGUGCCUGCUUCUUCUUUGCCUUCCACCAUGAGUGCAAGUCUCCUGAGGCCUCCCCAGCAAUAUAGAACCGGAUACGUCAUGGAACAGAGGGCAACCUGCCUCCUGGAAAUGUGGAGUGUCUAGGGAGUCACAGCUGAGAUCUUCCUUGGAUUAAAGGCUGCAGAUGCCACAAACAGGUAGGAA
Molecule: long non-coding RNA, 454 nt
Filed under: Pongo abelii (Sumatran orangutan)
Lineage: Eukaryota; Metazoa; Chordata; Mammalia; Primates; Hominidae
Description: lincRNA
Source: RNAcentral